AACGCACGAGACCUGCGGACCUGCGGAGGGAUCAUUACAAGUGACCCCGGUUUACCACCGGGAUGUUCAUAACCCUUUGUUGUCCGACUCUGUUGCCUCCGGGGCGACCCUGCCUUCGGGCGGGGGCUCCGGGUGGACACUUCAAACUCUUGCGUAACUUUGCAGUCUGAGUAAACUUAAUUAAUAAAUUAAAACUUUCAACAACGGAUCUCU
Molecule: unclassified non-coding RNA, 213 nt
Filed under: soil metagenome
Description: partial contains 5.8S ribosomal RNA, internal transcribed spacer 2, and large subunit ribosomal RNA
Source: RNAcentral